UACGUUGGGUGCAAGCGUUAAACGGAAUUACUGGGCGUAAAGCGUGCGCAGGCGGUUUUGUAAGUCUGUCGUGAAAGCUCCGGGCUCAACCUGGGAAUUGCGAUGGAGACUGCAAGGCUUGAAUCUGGCAGAGGGGGGUAGAAUUCCACGUGUAGCAGUGAAAUGCGUAGAGAUGUGGAGGAACACCGAUGGCGAAGGCAGCCCCCUGGGUCAAGAUUGACGCUCAUGCACGAAAGCGUGGGGAGCAAACAGG
This 253-nucleotide ribosomal RNA is filed under the name uncultured bacterium. RNAcentral describes it as "partial 16S ribosomal RNA". It matches the Rfam family "Bacterial small subunit ribosomal RNA", at positions 524 to 776 of the family's 1533-position model. The record is from RNAcentral.